UACGUAGGUGGCAAGCGUUGUCCGGAAUUAUUGGGCGUAAAGCGCGCGCAGGCGGUCUCUUAAGUCUGAUGUGAAAGCCCACGGCUCAACCGGGGAGGGUCAUUGGAAACUGGGGGACUGGAGUACUGGAGAGGAGAGUGGAAUUCCAUGUGUAGCGGUGAAAUGCGUAGAUAUAUGGAGGAACACCAGGGGCGAAGGCGGCCCUCUGGUCCAGUACUGACACUCAAGUGCGAAAGCGUGGGGAGCAAACAGG
This 253-nucleotide ribosomal RNA is filed under the name uncultured bacterium. RNAcentral describes it as "partial 16S ribosomal RNA". It matches the Rfam family "Bacterial small subunit ribosomal RNA", at positions 524 to 776 of the family's 1533-position model. The record is from RNAcentral.